RNAcentral lists this ribosomal RNA (253 nucleotides) under uncultured bacterium. RNAcentral describes it as "partial 16S ribosomal RNA". It matches the Rfam family "Bacterial small subunit ribosomal RNA", at positions 524 to 776 of the family's 1533-position model. The record is from RNAcentral.
UACGGAGGGUGCAAGCGUUGCUCGGAAUUAUUGGGCGUAAAGGGUAGGUAGGUGGUCUCAUUUGUCUGGGGUGAAAGCCUUGAGCUUAACUCAAGAAGUGCCCCAGAAACGAUGAGACUAGAGUCCUGGAGAGGGUCGUGGAAUUCCCGGUGUAGCGGUGAAAUGCGUAGAGAUCGGGAGGAACACCAGAGGCGAAGGCGGCGACCUGGACAGGUACUGACACUCAACUACGAAAGCGUGGGGAGCAAACAGG